This 253-nucleotide ribosomal RNA is filed under the name uncultured bacterium. RNAcentral describes it as "partial 16S ribosomal RNA". It matches the Rfam family "Bacterial small subunit ribosomal RNA", at positions 524 to 776 of the family's 1533-position model. The record is from RNAcentral.
UACGAAGGGGACUAGCGUUGUUCGGAAUUACUGGGCGUAAAGCGCGCGUAGGCGGAUCGCUAAGUCAGGGGUGAAAUCCUGGAGCUCAACUCCAGAACUGCCUUUGAUACUGAGGAUCUUGAGUUCGGGAGAGGUGAGUGGAACUGCGAGUGUAGAGGUGAAAUUCGUAGAUAUUCGCAAGAACACCAGUGGCGAAGGCGGCUCACUGGCCCGAUACUGACGCUGAGGCACGAAAGCGUGGGGAGCAAACAGG